Molecule: ribosomal RNA, 1266 nt
Filed under: Triticum aestivum (bread wheat)
Lineage: Eukaryota; Viridiplantae; Streptophyta; Magnoliopsida; Poales; Poaceae
Description: partial small subunit ribosomal RNA
Source: RNAcentral
AUGGUGGAAUCGCCGUACCGUCUUCGGCAUCGCCGGCUGAUGGACACCGCGCCCGCAACGGCGGGCGGUGAUCCAGCGCCAGGGCAUGGCUCCAGUGGGAUGCCGAUCAUGGUCUCCAUCCUGGUGGUGGUCAUCAUCUGCACCCUCUUCUACUGCGUCUACUGCUGGAGAUGGAGGAAACGCAACGCUGUGAAGAAGGCUCAUCUAGAGAGGCUGAGGCCGCUCUCCAACUCGGACCUGCCGGUGAUGGACCUGCCCACCAUCGCCGCCGCCACCAACGGUUUCUCCAAGGAGAACAAGCUCGGCGAAGGCGGCUUCGGCCCCGUCUACAGGGGCGUGCUGGACGGCGGCGCGGAGAUCGCGGUGAAGCGGCUGUCGGCUCGGUCGCGGCAGGGGGCGGCGGAGUUCCGGAACGAGGUGGAGCUGAUCGCCAAGCUGCAGCACCGGAACCUGGUGAGGCUGCUGGGGUGCUGCGUGGACAUGGACGAGAAGAUGCUCGUCUACGAGUACCUCCCCAACCGGAGCCUCGACGCCUUCCUCUUCGGCACCAGAAAGACGGCGCACUUGGAUUGGAAGAUGAGGCAGAGCAUCGUGGUGGGGAUCGCGCGCGGGCUGCUGUACCUCCACGAGGACUCGUGCCUCAAGAUCGUCCACAGGGACCUCAAGGCCAGCAACGUGCUCCUCGACAAUAAAAUGAACCCCAAGAUCUCCGACUUCGGCAUGGCCAUGAUCUUCGAGGACGAGGAGAUCGAGGUCGUCAACACCGGCCACGUCGUCGGAACAUAUGGGUACAUGGCGCCCGAGUACGCGAUGGGGGGCAUCUUCUCGGUGAAGUCGGACGUGUACAGCUUCGGGGUGCUGGUGCUGGAGAUCCUCAGCGGGCAGCGCAACGGCGCAAUGUACCUCCAGGAGCACCAGCACACCCUCAUCCAAGACGCAUGGAAGAUGUGGAGCGAGGACAAGGCGGCGGAGUUCAUGGACGCGUCGCUGGCCGGGUCGUACGCCAAGGAGGAGGCGUGGCGGUGCUACCACGCGGGCCUGCUGUGCGUGCAGGAGAGCCCGGAGCUCCGGCCGACCAUGUCCAGCGUCGUGCUGAUGCUCAUCGGCGACCAGGCGCAGCUCCCGGCGCCCGAGCAGCCCCCGCUGUUCGCGAGUCCGAAGAAGUCCCCGGCGUCAGACCAGUCCUCGCUGGCGAUGAGGUCCGAGACGACGUCCAAGACGCACUCCGUCAACGACGUGUCCAUCACCAUGAUCCAGCCACGAUAG